RNAcentral lists this ribosomal RNA (447 nucleotides) under uncultured bacterium. RNAcentral's name for it is "bacterial SSU rRNA". It matches the Rfam family "Bacterial small subunit ribosomal RNA", at positions 329 to 793 of the family's 1533-position model. The record is from RNAcentral.
UGCCAGACUCCUACGGGAGGCAGCAGUGGGGAAUAUUGCACAAUGGGGGAAACCCUGAUGCAGCGACGCCGCGUGAGUGAGGAAGUAUUUCGGUAUGUAAAGCUCUAUCAGCAGGGAAGAAAAUGACGGUACCUGACUAAGAAGCCCCGGCUAACUACGUGCCAGCAGCCGCGGUAAUACGUAGGGGGCAAGCGUUAUCCGGAUUUACUGGGUGUAAAGGGAGCGUAGACGGCUGUGCAAGCCAGAUGUGAAAGCCCGGGGCGCAACCCCGGGACUGCAUUUGGAACUGUGUGGCUGGAGUGUCGGAGAGGCAGGCGGAAUUCCUAGUGUAGCGGUGAAAUGCGUAGAUAUUAGGAGGAACACCAGUGGCGAAGGCGGCCUGCUGGACGAUGACUGACGUUGAGGCUCGAAAGCGUGGGGAGCAAACAGGAUUAGAUACCCUUGUAA